RNAcentral lists this ribosomal RNA (279 nucleotides) under uncultured bacterium. RNAcentral's name for it is "partial 16S ribosomal RNA". It matches the Rfam family "Bacterial small subunit ribosomal RNA", at positions 506 to 784 of the family's 1533-position model. The record is from RNAcentral.
UGGCAGCAGCCGCGGUAAUACGGAGGGGGUUAGCGUUGUUCGGAAUUACUGGGCGUAAAGCGCGCGUAGGCGGGCUGUUAAGUCGGGGGUGAAAUCCCGGGGCUCAACCCCGGAACUGCCUCCGAUACUGGCAGCCUAGAGAUCGAGAGAGGCGAGUGGAAUUGCGAGUGUAGAGGUGAAAUUCGUAGAUAUUGGGAAGAACACCAGUGGCGAAGGCGGCUCACUGGCUCGAUACUGACGCUGAGGUGCGAAAGUGUGAGGAGCAAACAGGAUUAGAUA